GUGAAUCAUCGAAUUUUUGAACGCAAAUUGCACUUUCUGGUAUUCCGGAAAGUAUGCCUGUUUGAGGGUCAGUUAAAUAAAAAUCGGUGGUGUUUCUGCUUUUCGUUGUUACGCCUCGGGAUUGAGUUGUCUUACCUUUGGUUAAGUUGCUUAAAAUUUUUCCUUAUUUUUGUACGAAUUUAAAUUUCUUACGUACGUUUGGGUUAU
Molecule: unclassified non-coding RNA, 207 nt
Filed under: Glomeraceae sp.
Lineage: Eukaryota; Fungi; Glomeromycota; Glomeromycetes; Glomerales; Glomeraceae
Description: partial contains 5.8S ribosomal RNA and internal transcribed spacer 2
Rfam family: 5.8S ribosomal RNA (bases 1-71)
Source: RNAcentral